Molecule: transfer RNA, 63 nt
Filed under: Allocebus trichotus (hairy-eared dwarf lemur)
Lineage: Eukaryota; Metazoa; Chordata; Mammalia; Primates; Cheirogaleidae
Description: tRNA-Ser
Source: RNAcentral
AAGAGAGACUACAACGUAGAACUGCUAAUUCUACCUACCAUAUAUAAAAAUAUGGCUCCCUUG